CAUAUUUAUAAUGCUCAAUUAGGUUUCAUAAUUGCACAAUUUUUCUUGGACCUUGUUGUAGUAGGCCAAUUAAGUCAUAUUCCUCUAUUAGAACCAAGAGAGGGACCUAAUCGAGGCUCAAAAGAUCGAAGUUCCAAUAGAUGUUUUUAAUUGAGUUAACUCUUGAUCAAUUAAGAUACAUCUAUUAAUUUCGGUUUAUUCUACCAAAAAAUCUAAAUUGCACUCUUGAGUCGAGUGAUAAUUGUGGAAGCAAAUUAUGAUCUGAUAACAAUAUCCCUAUCAUCAUUCCACAAGUCAACCCGUUUGACCGCCAAUAUGUUGAAAUCGGCAAAAUGACCGCUUUGCCCUUUCAACAUGUGUUGCCCUCCAAGAUCCAUUUUCAUUAGGCUAAUCUGUUGUGAACUAAUUUCAACAUAGAGUCCAACGAUCCCAUCAUCGGACUACUGAGCUCAAGCUCAAAUGCCUAUGAAAAAUGCCUCGGAGUGACGAUCGUUUCAUCGUGAUGGUUAAAGGAUUCCAUUAUUGCAAGCAUAUGAUUUCUAGCUGUUUUACCCCAAUUCCGAAAGCGCUGAGAUCAAUCUUCUAAUUAAGACUUCACUCAUUGGUAUCUCAAAAAACUUGAAUUAGCAAUCAAAAGUACAUUAUUCGCACAGAAUUUAGAUGACUUGUUUGAUAAUUAAGUAGAGUCUCAUUCUGAGUGACCACGAAUGAGUCAUUUACGUGGUCCCUUUCAACAUGUAUCAAAAUACAUUAUUGUUCUUAUUCCCAAAUCUAAACAAAUGUCAAUAAAAACAAUACAAUCUUAUCAAUAUAAAAAUCCAACUUUAUAUACGGAUUGCAAACUAUAUAUUUUGAUCAAGUCACAAAUUGUGUAUCACUAUAUUCGAACUAUCGAGUAUAUAAUUUGUGACAUCCUAUAUAAUCAUGAAAUCUUAUAUAAUUAUUUCAAAUUAUAACAUGCGAAUAAUUGAAUAUUAAAUCAUAAUGUCGUUUUACAAAAUACUACUCGAAGGGCAUCAAACUAACAAAUGCAACAUUAAUGCUUGCAUGUUCAAUGGGAAAUAUCUGAGUAUGGUGUUUUCUGGAUAAAUUUGUUUAUUUUUUCAUUGGUUAGAAGAAAGUUGAAUUCUUGAAGCUGGGAAUAUACUUUUUUGAGUUAAAUCAUUAAAAAGGUGAAAGAGAAUUUCAAAUUAUAUUUUGAUUUCCAAUUUAUAAUUUGUUUACCUUUUGGAAUUUGAACGUUUUCAUUACUGUUUCAUUGUACAUUUUCUGAGUGAGUUUUCAUGCCUUAACAGUAGUUUUUUUUUUUUUUUUUUUUCC
This 1320-nucleotide long non-coding RNA is filed under the name Olea europaea (common olive). Its description in RNAcentral is "long non-coding RNA (OEUR_LNC014966)". Lineage: Eukaryota; Viridiplantae; Streptophyta; Magnoliopsida; Lamiales; Oleaceae. The record is from RNAcentral.